AUACAGAGGGUGCGAGCGUUAAUCGGAAUUACUGGGCGUAAAGCGCGCGUAGGCGGCUUGGUCAGUCGGAUGUGAAGGCCCCGGGCUCAACCUGGGUAUGGCAUUCGAUACUGCCAGGCUAGAGUAUGGGAGAGGGAAGUGGAAUUUCCGGUGUAGCGGUGAAAUGCGUAGAUAUCGGAAGGAACACCAGUGGCGAAGGCGACUUCCUGGCCCAAUACUGACGCUGAGGUGCGAAAGCGUGGGGAGCGAACAGGAUUAGAUACCCUAGUAGUCC
RNAcentral lists this ribosomal RNA (274 nucleotides) under uncultured bacterium. RNAcentral's name for it is "partial 16S ribosomal RNA". It matches the Rfam family "Bacterial small subunit ribosomal RNA", at positions 523 to 796 of the family's 1533-position model. The record is from RNAcentral.